UUCGGCCUCACCAAGGAAAAGAGGAAAGAAAGAAAGAACAAAUCCCUAGUUAGAAAAUUCAAGAGAAAAUUUGUGGAUUUCAAGGAAUUAAGUAAGUAAAGGUAAAAUUUCUUGAUUUUAGCUUGUGAUCUACCUUUCCUAUGCAUUCUUUUUCAUUUUUCAUGGUUGAGAAUCAAGUUUGCAUAAGGAUACCUUUGCUGGCCGAACAUGAGGGGAGGAGUUUUGAUCUUGAAUUUAGCUAGAUUUCAUGUUAUUCUAGUAUAUUUAGUUGGUUGGUGAUGUGUAGCAUAAAAAGCAAAUAAGAAAAAUUCAUGUUCUUACAUCACCUUCAUUGGCCGAAUCUUCCUUAUGGUAUGUGGAUGGUGGAUUUUAUUUUAUUUCAAGUGAUUUGGUUAGGAAUUAAUGAUUUAUGGUGUAAAAAUCAAGUAUGGAAAAACCAUAGUGUUUAUGCACCCAUCAUGGUUGAAUUUUCCAAGAGAAAAUGUUGAGGAUGAUUUUGCUAUAAUUCAUGUUAUCUAGCUUAUAUUUGAUGAUUUGGAGUAUUGGAAGUGAAAUGAAUUUGUUUGGAGUUACUUUGGAUGUUUUGGUUAAAUCAAAGGUGAAGAGUUAGAAUUAGGUUGAAAACUGACCAUUCCGAUCAUCCUUGAACCAACGUGAAUUCCAUUUUUCAGUGACUAUCCAAACAACCACAUGCAUUCAUAUAAAGCCUGAAAUAGAUUUAUAAUUAUAUGACACAAUAUAUUGAAUUAUUUGUCGUGUAUUGUGUAUAAGUGGUGAGUCCUCUAACAAGGCAAAGACAUUGUGCUAGAGGACCAAGAACAGGAGUAUUUCGAACUCUCGAUAUUGAGAGUAACCUUAUUAUCAUCUUAAUUAUCUAAAGUAGUUUUUAUUCGUUUUUGUGAUUUUAUAGAAAAUUGAGUUUAAAUGGUAAAUCCAUAUGUUUUAUAAGUAAAAUGUGAUUAAAUGAAAUGAGUUUUAUAAAUCAUUUUGAAAUUGAAUGAUGAUUUUAGAAAUGGAGUAAUUGGAGACUGUUUGUUUGUGUUGUAAAUUUAUGGUUUGAAUUGAAUGGAUUAUGGUGAUAUUGGCUUGAAUGGUUGAAUUGGAAAUUAUGUUGAAUAUAUGAACUGUUUUGCUUUGCCUUGACAAGCUGGUAAUAUUAUAUUAGCCAUGUAAUACUGCUAAAAUUUUAUUGAUUUGGUGAGAUAUCGAUUAGCUGACUGCAGUGGACGGGAUUCUAUAGACUAGCCUGUUAGAGGGACACGGUAAACCCUGUUUCAUUUUAUUUUACCUUAGUACGAGAGGCGCAGAGGGUAUCUCCUGAGGUAAAGCUUCAGAGUUCACUUCACGCCGAACCACCACGUGAGAAUGAAUUCAGCCAACGUCAAGGAACGGUUGUGCUUUUAAACGUAAAAAUGUGUUUUAUGCGUAUAUGACUUUUUAAACAGCCUUGGCGAUCUCGAUUGGAUGCCUCUGAUCAAGGUAUCCCCGAGAAUGAGUUUUGGCACGAGCCAAGUUUUUAAGAGAUUCAUAAGCCUCAAUGUAUAUUUUGGAUGAAAUGUAACUGGUUUAGAUGAUUUGAAAUGUGUUUUGAGGUUAUGAACCAUUUUAUGAUGAUCUAUUUUAAAUUGUCUCCAUUUACUCGGCUUUAGAUAUUUUAGAUGAUGUUUGUUUACUCACUGAGUUUAUAUAAACUCACCACCCUCAUUUUCACUCAUUCCAAGCUCAGGAUAGUCAGUAGAUAGUUGAUUUCGUUGAGGGCUACAGUUGGAUUUGCAUCCUCAAAAACCGUAGGUUCACAUCCUUCGUUACUUUUGGUCAUUCGGGGGUCCACAUGUCAUUGUAAAUUAAGUUACACACUUUGGCUCACUGUGUUACUGUAUGUAUAAAUUUAUUUUGCUUUUACGCUAUAAAAAUUAUUUACGCGUAGUUUUAUAAAAAUUAUUUUAUAAGAAAAUGGAAUAUUUUAUUCAAUAUUUUUAUUUUAUCUUAAUAGCUAUCAUUUCACUUUAAAUGAACGUUUUAGACAUCUAAACUUAUUUUUGGUUAUGAAAUAUGUAUCUUUCACUCAUAUAAUACAUUUUUAGAUGGUUUUGAAAUUUUUGGGGAAAAAUGACCAAAAUACCCCUGUGAGACCAAAAUUAUUUUCUUUAUUGUUUUGGUUUGGAAAUAGCUUAUCAUCUUUUAAAAUGUGAUAUUAUCAACUGUUGCUCGCAGGGGAGGUGAGAAAACUGAUAUUAAAGCCUUGCGGGGUUUCGAUUAGCAUUCCGAGUAAUGAAUGUCCAUCGGAACAUCGAUGCGGUUGUCAUAGGCUCGAGGAGAGUACCGGGUCGUGACACCCUCACUCUCGUAGGCCAUUAAGCUGCGACUUUCCUAUAAGGGAGCCACUGCUUUGAUGGUUUUUUUCUUUUUUUUUCCAAAUGAGGCCUCAACCUAAAGCCCAAUAGGCCACAGCCACAUCAAUUAGAGUUCGGGAGGCCAUGGCCAGCGUCAAUUAGAGUCUAGGAGGCUACAGCCUACCCCUUUUUUGAAAAUUUUUUUUUGAAUUUUUUUUACAUUUUUUAUAGGG
This 2566-nucleotide long non-coding RNA is filed under the name Theobroma cacao (cacao). RNAcentral's name for it is "long non-coding RNA (TCAC_LNC004539)". Lineage: Eukaryota; Viridiplantae; Streptophyta; Magnoliopsida; Malvales; Malvaceae. The record is from RNAcentral.